Molecule: ribosomal RNA, 253 nt
Filed under: uncultured bacterium
Lineage: Bacteria
Description: partial 16S ribosomal RNA
Rfam family: Bacterial small subunit ribosomal RNA
Source: RNAcentral
UACGUAGGGGGCAAGCGUUGUCCGGAAUCAUUGGGCGUAAAGCGCGUGUAGGCGGCCCGGUAAGUCCGCUGUGAAAGUCGGGGGCUCAACCCUCGAAUGCCGGUGGAUACUGUCGGGCUAGAGUGCGGAAGAGGCGAGUGGAAUUCCUGGUGUAGCGGUGAAAUGCGCAGAUAUCAGGAGGAACACCAAUUGCGAAGGCAGCUCGCUGGGACGUGACUGACGCUGAGACGCGAAAGCGUGGGGAGCAAACGGG